Molecule: long non-coding RNA, 1316 nt
Filed under: Sinocyclocheilus grahami
Lineage: Eukaryota; Metazoa; Chordata; Actinopteri; Cypriniformes; Cyprinidae
Description: lncRNA (ENSSGRG00000029602.1)
Source: RNAcentral
AUGAGGUGUGGUCCUUUACGUGACUAUGGAGAGCAGACUUUCAUGGACAAGUUUGAACUCGGAGAAGCCGCCUGCAGACGUUGGCAACACCACAAACCACUAACACGCAGUGUGUACUUGACAGAACUGUCCAAACAAAGGGAGUCUUAUUUAUUGUACAAUAAGAUGGAAAAUGUUGCUUGGCUGCACAGUAAGAGGUUUAUAGCAAAGCUGUGUCCUCUAGUUUGGAUACUGGACUCCACCCUCACUGAGGCUGUUACCAAACCAGAUCCACAGGGAAGCCAAGCAGAGGUCUUCAGAGAAGAGUUUAACGGCCGCUGAAUUACAAGAGAAAAGAUACAUCCAAAGUAAGUAAUAAGCUUUGUUUUUGUGCAAGUUUAGAAGCGAUUCACAUUGUUCAAAUGACAAGCAACUCGUCAGCAUUUGCGCUACAAAAAUGUUUUCAUUAUAACAUCCUUGUUUCCGUUCACUUACCCUGACCUGUCAUUUCUACUAGAUCGAAUCGAUUUUAUUGAUCACUAAUUAAAGGGAAAGUGGCUGAACUGUUUAAUUAGCUUACGUUUAAGAUUGUAGUCUGCUGAUUUUUAUUUUUAAUGUGAAAUCUAUUUAGACUAUUUUAUGCGCUGUUUUAAUAUGGUAGCCUACAUUAUUACAAAUAUUCCAGCGUUUACAAAAGGAGAAAAAAAAUGAAAUAUUUUAUAAUUAUUUUAUAGAUUUUGAGUGCUGGAGAAAAACUUAAGUGCGAUUGACGAUUAAAAAGGAAAAUCGCUGAUAACAAUAGCCUAACAAAGAAACUAAGGACACAAAGUAGCGAGAAAGAGAGCUGCACUGGUUUAACUUCGAUUAGUUUACACAAAACAGUAGAACUGACUAGAUUCAACACAUGUGAAUGUAGCUACUUAAAAUAUCAUCAAAUGUUAAAGAGCUGAUGGCACGCGUGGUCUUUGUAAGCUUACAUCCAUUCGGUUGAGGAAGACAUUAUAUGGGGGAUGUUUAUUAAAGGAAAAACUAUAAAACUGUUAUAAAAAUAUAAAUAUAGAUAGAGCAAUGAUUUUUUGCCUUUUCUGAUAGUGAUGAAUGGUGUGAUGGCCUAUCGUGCAUGAAACAUUUUAUGAUUUGAACACCGUUAUAAAACAUUUAAAGGGAUAGUUCACACACACACACACACACACACAAUUAAAAUUCAGUCAUCAUUUACUCACCUUCAUGUCCAUUCAACCCUGUUUGAUUUGUUAUGGAUAUUAAGUUCCAAAAUAAAAAAAUGCAUCAUGAAUGCAUCAUACGAUCCAUACGACUUGUGCACUAGUCUUCUGAAG